RNAcentral lists this ribosomal RNA (119 nucleotides) under uncultured bacterium. RNAcentral's name for it is "partial 16S ribosomal RNA". It matches the Rfam family "Bacterial small subunit ribosomal RNA", at positions 216 to 334 of the family's 1533-position model. The record is from RNAcentral.
CACUAUUGGAUGAGCCUGCGUUGGAUUAGCUAGUUGGUGGGGUAAAGGCCUACCAAGGCGACGAUCCAUAGCUGGUCUGAGAGGAUGAUCAGCCACACUGGGACUGAGACACGGCCCAG